AAAUCUCCUAAUAAAACUAAAUACAAAUGGGAGCCAGAGAGAAGUUAUCAUUCAAGACCUGAAAUGGAAGAGAAGAAAAAAAAAAAAAAGAAGAAGAAGAAAGUGGAAGGAAAGAAGGAAGAAAACAGCCAAUUAUUCAUUCAUUAAGUAUACACACCAAGUAUGUGUCUGGUUCCAUAAAGAUAAGAUUAAUAUCCAAUGUUUUCUUUCUGUAGUCUCAUUGCUUUGUUGUUUUCAUUGUUCAGUAGCUAAUUUGUGCCUGUUCUUUGUGACCUCAUGGAUUGCAGCAUGCCAAGCUGGACUUGAUCAUUGG
This 313-nucleotide long non-coding RNA is filed under the name Bos indicus x Bos taurus (hybrid cattle). Its description in RNAcentral is "lncRNA (ENSBIXG00005019086.1)". Lineage: Eukaryota; Metazoa; Chordata; Mammalia; Artiodactyla; Bovidae. The record is from RNAcentral.